Molecule: long non-coding RNA, 321 nt
Filed under: Elaeis guineensis (African oil palm)
Lineage: Eukaryota; Viridiplantae; Streptophyta; Magnoliopsida; Arecales; Arecaceae
Description: long non-coding RNA (EGUI_LNC073668)
Source: RNAcentral
CUCCGUUUGCACAACAUACCAAAAAUAGAGGAAACAAGAUGCUUCACAAUAGGUGGAGUUGAUGGACUAAUAAUAAGAUAUGACUUAGAAAGAUUAACUUACUGAUAGAAGAAAUAACAAUAGAUAUUUAAACAAGCUUAAGAGAUAAAGCAUGAUAGACAACCCCCUUGAUGAUAAGAAGAUAGUCAUCAACAAAGAAAAGAUGAGACAUUUGAGGGCCAUGCAGCUGAGGUAUACAAGGACAAAGCAACUUAUCAUGUGUUACCUGUAAGGAACAUAAAAGAUUUUAGAACAAAAGAUAAAUAAUAACAGAGAUAUUGG